Molecule: unclassified non-coding RNA, 1253 nt
Filed under: Gigantopelta aegis
Lineage: Eukaryota; Metazoa; Mollusca; Gastropoda; Neomphalida; Peltospiridae
Description: tetraspanin-18-like, transcript variant X2
Source: RNAcentral
AAUACCGAAUAAACCUUGCACUCUACCGUGUAAUCAGAAUAUGACAAACAAUAUACAAUGCAUCGGAAAACAACUUUGCAAGGCAGCGUUGUACUGUAUUAGUGCGCCAGUUAUUACAGAGGAGCAGUGCACAAAGAAAAAACGAAGACGGUGAAAGUUUUAUUUGUGAUUGUUUAUGAACAUAAUUUUUUUUUAAACAAAUGAUUUGAUUGAACUAGUAGCUCAGUCUAUUUGCUUGAUUGAACUAGUGGCUCAAUCUCCUAGCUGAACAUCCAAUAUUGGAGAAACGUUGCCCUUUCAAAGGAGAAGAAUCCAGAGGGGGAUAAUGGAACUGGACACAAAACCACUGCACCCAUCCGAAGAGUCGCCCACCUUGGGGAUAAUCAUCAAAUAUGUUUUCGUCGUGUGGAGCGUCGUACUCAUUCUGAUGGGUGCAAGCGCUUUUGGUGCAGGGGUAUGGAUCUUGAUGGAUGAAAAGUACUCGUUGAAUCUCAUCCAGGCUGUAACCUCCGUUCUGGUCUUCUCUGGAGGCAUGCUCUUCAUCUUGGGAUUCUUAGCCACCUGUGCGGCCUUGCUGGAACAUAAGGGGAUGCUCAUUGUAUACAUCGUCAUAUUGAUGGUUUUGCUGUGUAGCCAAGGAACAGCGUCUGUAAUAAUGGUAGUGAAGUGGAAAGCGAUUGAGAAUGAAUUAAAUGAGAAUCUGGUGAAAAAUGUGGAGGAAAACUACGACGGAAAGGUGAAGAGCGCCAGUGUAUUCAGUGCGGCACUUGACUGGACACAAGUCACUUUAUAUUGCUGCGGCAUCAACAAGUUCUCGGAAUUUCAGAAGGCCAAGAACUGGAAAGCCAGGGAAACCAAGAUGGUUCCCGAGACUUGCUGUAUUCUCACAAACCGGGACAAGUUCUUCUUGAAGGAGAAGCCAAAAGUAAAAGUCCGUACUUGUCCACAAGAUCCAACAGCCACUGAUUCCUAUAUCAGUACAGAGUGGUUUGUUCUUUGUUGAGUGGAGUGUUUGUAGAGCUCUCUGAUCUUGCAGCUGCUCUCAGUGACCAAGUGACAAAGCACUGAAAUAUGCAGAACAGUGUUUUCAACAAUCACAAAUCCUCCCAACAUGGUACACACCAUUCCUUGAGAUUGGUCAUCAAGCAGCAAACAUUAGUAGGACAAAGCCAUGCUUUAACGGGAUCAAAGAGCUAUUGAUGGAGAAGUGGAAGCUGUUCCUUGGAGUUCUUUGUGUCGUUUUAAUCUUCGAG